GGUAAUGUCUUAGCGGUGCGCGUGACACGCCGUUGCGAGUACGAACGGGAUCGGUAUUCUUUUGUUUCCCUUCCUUUUUUUUUGUUUUGUUUUACUCGGAAAACACACCCUUUCCGUACGAGCGGCUGGGUUUACAUUAUUUCGAAAAUAGCUGGUGACCGUUAUUACAUUUUUGUUUUGUGUCGAAGAACGCCGUUUCGUCGUGUCUCGUUACCAUUACCAGAAUGUCGUCGACCUCUCAAAAGAAAUAAAUAACGAGGUAUAUAGACAGCUCACCUCCUGAGAUCUCGUGGUAACUGCUGAAUCUGACGUGCAUCAGUGGUGCAUAACAGUGCUUUUUGUGAACUGCGGAAGAAAAUUUUAUAAAAUUCGUUUGAAAAAAGUGCAAAUACGAUAGUGCCACCGCUCAAUGCGGACAGGAAUAUACGUGGAGCCAACGUCCACAGGAAUUCUCCGUCGUCCCUGCAGCCGCCCAAGGAUGCCAGAGUCGGUGAAGAAACGGUGACACUCCGACCUGUAGCGGCAAGACCUGUCAAGGACGCGGCCUCCCCCAACUACUGCGAGCAGGAAACACGAGGGGGCUAAGAGCGUGCAACAGCGGACGGCUGCAGUCUCGCCCGAACGGCGAGCGGAAGAGAGAACAACGACAAAAAAGCAACGAAGUCUGUGGAGGAGUGCCCCAUCCUCGCUUUUAAUUUAUUCCUGUCUGGGCAGAGAAAGAGAGGGAUUAAGACGUGCAGACGGGGGAAGUGCCACGAGCUGACAGAGAAGGGAACGAGACAAUAAUCUCUCGCUGCGCGGGCUGAAUGAAAUGAUUUAUCUCCCCCUUGCGUGAUAUCGCCCCAUUCUCAGUGCGGCAUAUCUUCGGGAACAGGUCCUUAAGCUCUGGAGCAGCGAGAAUCCUUUCCUACUUUUUUCCCCCGCUGUCGCGACGGAAGAAGACAUUCUUGAUUCGACAUCGAACGAUACGGGUGACGUCUAGUGCCUUCAGAGCGUUUUUUUUUUUAUGUUGACAAUACUGUCAAAUAUGAGCAGAGAUUCAUCUCUUUGACAGUGUGACGAAGAAAAAAAGAAGCAACAGAUACGAGCGGCUUGUAAUAUCUCUGCGUUUUCCACAGAGGUAUAAACUCACUCUGAGUAUAUAUUGUGCGGUUUUGUUUUUGUGUGUGUGUUUUUUUUUCUUGUGCGAGAAGUGCUCGAUCGCUCCGUCGUUUCGGUUCGUUUCGCGAAGUUUUUCCGCGAAAUUCUGCGCUUGCCGGUUUCGUUCGUCGCGCCGCUUUUUCCGAAAAAUUUUUAACCGUUUUGCUGACCGGCAGAGAAGGAAAAAAAAUAACAGUUUUCUGUUGCACUCCUUACCGAUUUAGAAACAAAUGUGAAAAUCAUAGGUUGUGCACGUAGAUUUAUUUUAUUGUUUUUUACGUUUAUUUUUGCUGCCAACAGUGAGCGCGUUUGACGGUAAGGACUCUCGUGGAACAGUAUCUCAGUUUUGUUUCUUCGUUUCGCGUGUGUCCACUGGUGACGUCACGUCCAGUGUGUUCAGUACCCGCGUUGCAACGAAUUGAGGUGGUGGUUGUUGUUCAUCGAGCAAUCUCUGAUCAUCGGAGAAAACCGGCAGCUGCCACGAGAAGAAGAGAGUUCCUUGGAUGUGGAUAGCGAUUUUUGCUGCGACCAGGGACGGCAAGAAGAGACACGAGUGUUAGCGUGGCGGUCGCGAUGCUGAAGGCGCUGCGCCGGCGGCCGGUGCGGUUCGCGGCGCUGGCCGCCGCAGUGGCCGUGGCGCUGCUGUGCCUCUACUACCGCAACAUGGCCGCCGCCGGGGAGUCCC
Schistocerca americana (American grasshopper) is the source of this 1825-nucleotide long non-coding RNA. RefSeq lists it as uncharacterized. The transcript has 3 exons. NCBI's taxonomy places the organism in Eukaryota, Metazoa, Arthropoda, Insecta, Orthoptera, Acrididae. The record is from RefSeq and is a predicted model, not a curated record.